UUAGGAUCUAUAAUAUGUCAUAUUAUAUUUAUAAAUUAGAAAAUAAAAGAUUUGGUAUUGAUCAAAUCAAUACCCUAGAUCUAAAAUAUUUUUAGAUCUAAAACCAAGAUCACAUCUAGAUAAAAGAAGAGAUCAGAUCUCUUACCUUCAUGGGGGUCGAGAACUCUAUGAUUAAUUUUUUUUGUUGCUUUUGGAGCUGCACACACGUCUAACCUCUACAG
This 221-nucleotide long non-coding RNA is filed under the name Elaeis guineensis (African oil palm). RNAcentral's name for it is "long non-coding RNA (EGUI_LNC042895)". The record is from RNAcentral. Lineage: Eukaryota; Viridiplantae; Streptophyta; Magnoliopsida; Arecales; Arecaceae.